CGACAAUUAUUUUGGAACGGAGG
This 23-nucleotide microRNA is filed under the name Corchorus olitorius. Its description in RNAcentral is "hvu-miR504". Lineage: Eukaryota; Viridiplantae; Streptophyta; Magnoliopsida; Malvales; Malvaceae. The record is from RNAcentral.